RNAcentral lists this ribosomal RNA (468 nucleotides) under uncultured bacterium. Its description in RNAcentral is "partial 16S ribosomal RNA". It matches the Rfam family "Bacterial small subunit ribosomal RNA", at positions 28 to 507 of the family's 1533-position model. The record is from RNAcentral.
GACGAACGCUGGCGGCGUGCUUAACACAUGCAAGUCGAACGGAAAGGCCCUGCUUUUGUGGGGCGCUCGAGUGGCGAACGGGUGAGUAACACGUGAGUAACCUGCCCUUGACUUUGGGAUAACUUCAGGAAACUGGGGCUAAUACCGGAUAGGAGCUCCUGCUGCAUGGUGGGGGUUGGAAAGUUUCGGCGGUUGGGGAUGGACUCGCGGCUUAUCCGCUUGUUGGUGGGGUAGUGGCUUACCAAGGCUUUGACGGGUAGCCGGCCUGAGAGGGUGACCGGGCACAAUGGGACUGAGAGAGGGCCCAGAGUCGUACGGGAGGCAGCAGUGGGGAGUAUUGCGGAAUGGGCGGGAGCCUGUGGCAGCGGCGCCGGGUGCGGGAUGACGGCCUUCGGGUUGUAAACCGCUUUCGCCGGGGACGAGGCGUGAGUGACGGUAAUGGAUAAAGAAGCACCGGCUAACUACGUG